Molecule: long non-coding RNA, 1263 nt
Filed under: Calidris pugnax (ruff)
Lineage: Eukaryota; Metazoa; Chordata; Aves; Charadriiformes; Scolopacidae
Description: lncRNA (ENSCPUG00000012553.1)
Source: RNAcentral
UGAGGAUAUUUUCAGUUGUUGCAGUCCUUGAGGUAGGAAAGGAGACUUUCUUUCCUGAUGGGUAUUUUUAAUUGCCUUCACUAUAUUACUCUUUUAACUGCUGAAAACCCAGAGAAUCCUAAAUUAAAAACUUUUACAUGAUUAUACAGUAUCCCAGCAGCUGGAAGAUAUUAGUCAUCUAUAGAUGUCCUGCUCCUAAUAGCUUGAGUGAGCAAUAAAACCACACAUGCACAGUGCUCACCGUACAUCUUGAGCUGACUCUUUUCCAGGUCCUGGAGCAGUUAAGCAAGGAUUCUUGCCCUGUUUUGCUCAGUUCUUAGCCUUUUGCUUCUCCUUUGCAACUCAGGGCAGAGCUGGGAGCGCUCACUAACACGCUGUGGGGUGGUGGGACCACAGCUGUGGAGACCCUUUGCCAGCCGCCCCAUUUCCUCACGAGGAGCUCCCCAGGAGUAGAUGCGAAUCCAAAAUUGACAUGGAAGUACUGGAGUGAGACCAGAAGAGCACUUACCAGGGCUCACAGGCUGUUUGUAAAACAAACAAGGCGAUGUUGUCCUUGCUCGUAGCCACGUGUUGCCAAACAAAAGUCUGUGUUUUGCACAAACGUGAAGGAGUUUGUGGGGACCCAUCGCUGGGAACUAGAAAAUAGAGAUUUCCCUCUUGCUCCGUGGUGGUGAUCCUGAUGCUUGUGUGUCCUCUCUCUCCACCCCAGCUUGCCCUGAUGGCCUCUGGGGACUGGGCUGCCAGGAGAUCUGUCCUGAGUGUGCCAACAACGCCAGCUGCCACCCGGCCACCGGGACCUGCCUGUGUCCCCCCGGCUACACGGGCUCCCGCUGCCAGGAUGUGUGUCCCCCCGGCUGGUUUGGCCCCGAUUGCCAGCUGAGCUGCAGCUGUGGGAACGACGGGCAUUGCCAUCCUGUGACGGGGACGUGCAGCUGCCCCCCGGGCUGGACGGGCUACAACUGCCAGAGAGGUAUCGUAUUGUCAUCCUUGGGGCCUAAAAUUUGCUGAGCUGGGCAGGGCUGCGCUGUGAUUUGCUUCGCUGUCACCUUCGUGCUGGAAAAAUCUGAAAUCUGCCCCAUCCCUGCAAGUGUUUAAGGCCAGGCUGGAUGGGGCUCGGAGCAACCUGCUCUAGUGAUGUCCCUGCCCACCGUUGGAACUUGAUGAGCUUUAAGGUCCCUUCCAACUCUAACCAUUCUAUGAUUCUAUGAAAUCCUUUGGGUUUCUCCACUCUGUCCUGCCAGUGCCACUUGCUUUUCUGUGUGC